UUGAUCCUGGCUCAGGACGAACGCUGGCGGCGUGCUUAACACAUGCAAGUCGAGCGGAAAGGCCCCUUCGGGGGUACUCGAGCGGCGAACGGGUGAGUAACACGUGAGCAACCUGCCCCUGACACUGGGAUAAGCCUGGGAAACCGGGUCUAAUACCGGAUAUGACCUGCCUUCGCAUGGGGGUGGGUGGAAAGGUUGGCUCGUUUGGGUCUUCCGGUCAGGGAUGGGCUCGCGGCCUAUCAGCUUGUUGGUGGGGUAACGGCCUACCAAGGCGACGACGGGUAGCCGGCCUGAGAGGGCGACCGGCCACACUGGGACUGAGACACGGCCCAGACUCCUACGGGAGGCAGCAGUGGGGAAUAUUGCGCAAUGGGCGAAAGCCUGACGCAGCGACGCCGCGUGGGGGAUGAAGGCCUUCGGGUUGUAAACCUCUUUCGGCAGGGACGAAGUUGACGUGUACCUGCGGAAGAAGCGCCGGCUAACUACGUGCCAGCAGCCGCGGUAAUACGUAGGGCGCGAGCGUUGUCCGGAAUUAUUGGGCGUAAAGAGCUCGUAGGCGGCUGGUCGCGUCUGCCGUGAAAGCCCGCGGCUUAACCGUGGGUCUGCGGUGGAUACGGGCCGGCUAGAGGCAGGCAGGGGCAAGUGGAAUUCCUGGUGUAGCGGUGAAAUGCGCAGAUAUCAGGAGGAACACCGGUGGCGAAGGCGGCUUGCUGGGCCUGUCCUGACGC
This 728-nucleotide ribosomal RNA is filed under the name Thermomonospora sp. EBT20D-2. RNAcentral's name for it is "bacterial SSU rRNA". It matches the Rfam family "Bacterial small subunit ribosomal RNA", at positions 13 to 746 of the family's 1533-position model. Lineage: Bacteria; Bacillati; Actinomycetota; Actinomycetes; Streptosporangiales; Thermomonosporaceae. The record is from RNAcentral.